AAAAGUGAGGGCCUCUUAAAAUAAGGUUUUCUUCACAAACGCCGUACCACCCAUUAACAAAAACUUGUUCUUUCUUCUUCUUCUCCAGUUUCUUAAACCCUAAACCCUAGCUGUCAGUCAUACCGUCCAAGAAAGACAGCAGGAAGAUGGAAGACCAAAAUGAAGGAAAGAACAAGGCAAUGUCACGGCCGCAUUUGUUGCAAGAGAAAGAUUACUCAGCACUGAAAGAGCUCUUCAGCCACCAUAUUGAGUCCUUUGAUCAUAUGGUCGAUAAUGGUCUUGAAACCAUGCUGCUCAGUAUCAAGCCCGUUGAGGUCCUUGAUUCCUUUUCCAAGCUCAAGCUAAGAAAUAUCCUUUUUUUUUCUUUUCAAACCUCAAUAUCAAGCCCGUUGAAGUCCUCGAUUCUUUUUCCAAGCUCAAGCUAAGAAAUAUCCUUUUUUUCUUUUCAAAAUUCCUUUCUUUAGUUGCCAAUUCUUCUGAUUGGAAUUCUGAGCUAUAUACAGAGCUAAAAAGAGACGGAGUCUUGCUUAUUUAGUCAAACAGGAUAGUGAACAGCUUGAAAAUAUGUGCCUUGUGUUAAAGAUUGGAUUUUUUUUAACUAUCUUAUUUUCCUUUUCUACUGUUUAAGUUGAAGACCUAGGGGUUGUGUAUUGAGUCAUGGUGAAGUUAGGAUUAUAAUAUUCUG
RNAcentral lists this long non-coding RNA (685 nucleotides) under Nicotiana benthamiana. Its description in RNAcentral is "long non-coding RNA (NBEN_LNC008659)". The record is from RNAcentral. Lineage: Eukaryota; Viridiplantae; Streptophyta; Magnoliopsida; Solanales; Solanaceae.